RNAcentral lists this long non-coding RNA (235 nucleotides) under Brassica napus (rape). RNAcentral's name for it is "long non-coding RNA (BNAP_LNC010404)". The record is from RNAcentral. Lineage: Eukaryota; Viridiplantae; Streptophyta; Magnoliopsida; Brassicales; Brassicaceae.
UUUCUUUUGACUCCUUUUUUUUUUGAGAUUUUAACCCCACAGCUGCAGUUUAUCUACGAAAAUGCCAUUAACAUUUUUUUUUUUUUUUUCGAAAAUGGCUUCUUUACUGUCUCAACCUCAUCUUCUUCAAGUAUUUACAAUAUUGCCACUGCAAUGAAUAGUGGCAACAACCUUGUACGAACUGUUUGAAGCUUUUAAUGCCCUUUAAUGCACGUAAAUCUCUUUACACUCUCUC